Molecule: non-coding RNA, 337 nt
Organism: Ovis aries (sheep)
Lineage: Eukaryota; Metazoa; Chordata; Mammalia; Artiodactyla; Bovidae
Rfam family: 7SK RNA
About the family: 7SK was discovered as an abundant small nuclear RNA in the mid-70s but a possible function has only recently been suggested. Two independent studies have found that 7SK RNA binds the CDK9/cyclin T complex (known as elongation factor P-TEFb).
Source: Rfam
AAAUGAUCUGGUUGUGACAUCUGUCACCCCAUUGAUCGCCAGGGUUGAUUCGGCUGAUCUGGCUGGCUAGUCGGGUGUCCCCUUCCCCCCUCACCGCUCCAUGUGCGUCCCUCCCUAAGCUGCACGCUUGGUCGAAGAGGACGACCAUCCCCGAUAGAGGAGGACCGGUCUUCUGUCAAGGGUAUACGAGUAGCUGCGCUCCCCUGCUAGAACCUCCAAACAAGCUCUCAAGGUCCUUUAGUAGUUUUUAAAACAAUAGAAGUGACUUAAUGGUCCUGUGAUUGAAACUGUUCUAAGCACAUAUUUCUAAAAAUGUAUCUUUAAAAUGUUUUUCUCC